AUGAAACUGAAGAGCUGGAAGGAGGACAUUACAACAUCUCUUAUAUUUGCAAGAUGAAGCAGAAAGUCCCAUGCAGUGGAUGAUGAAGGCAUUCUGGUUUGCAAACUCAGGAGAGGAACAAAGAACAGAUGUUGACGGGAUCAUCUAGAGAUGCGGGCCUACUACACUUCAUACGAGCAAGUGUGCUAAUAUACAUGAAGACUUGGGUUAUAUUUUUUUCUGAAAACUAGGCUACAACUUUAGUGAUGAAUGCAGAAGAUAUCUACACGAGACUACGUCUUAAAGAUGCCACCUUCAUGUAAUGAAAGAGGACAAAAGAGAUGGGUUUAAACUGGAAUAUUUACAUGAUAUUUAUUUGUUAUUUGUAUUAUAUGUUUGUAGAAUACUACAUUCAAGAAAGCUAAUGAAGUUUAUCAUCUUGUCGACUUUCAAAUAAUUAAAGAUAACUAAUCCUCAACGAAUAAACAUUAAAAUUCUAACAAUGUCAACUACCAUCUUAUAGGAUGAAACUGAGGACUGGGCAGGAAGAUUCUCCUUCAAAUUUGAGUGAUAAAGGUCUAUCAGUCUAUA
This 570-nucleotide long non-coding RNA is filed under the name Strongylocentrotus purpuratus (purple sea urchin). RNAcentral describes it as "uncharacterized LOC105437812, transcript variant X1". The record is from RNAcentral. Lineage: Eukaryota; Metazoa; Echinodermata; Echinoidea; Camarodonta; Strongylocentrotidae.